GACGAACGCUGGCGGCGUGCUUAACACAUGCAAGUCGAACGGAAAGGCCCUGCUUGCAGGGUACUCGAGUGGCGAACGGGUGAGUAACACGUGGGUGAUCUGCCCUGCACUUCGGGAUAAGCCUGGGAAACUGGGUCUAAUACCGGAUAGGAGCCAUUUUUAGUGUGAUGGUUGGAAAGUCUUUUCGGUGUAGGAUGAGCUCGCGGCCUAUCAGCUUGUUGGUGGGGUAAUGGCCUACCAAGGCGGCGACGGGUAGCCGGCCUGAGAGGGUGGACGGCCACAGUGGGACUGGGAUACGGCCCAGACUCCUACGGGAGGCAGCAGUGGGGAAUGUUGCACAAUGGGCGCAAGCCUGAUGCAGCGACGCCGCGUGGGGGAUGACGGCCUUCGGGUUGUAAACUCCUUUCGCUAGGGACGAAGCUUUUUGUGACGGUACCUAGAUAAGAAGCACCGGCUAACUACGUG
Molecule: ribosomal RNA, 465 nt
Filed under: uncultured bacterium
Lineage: Bacteria
Description: partial 16S ribosomal RNA
Rfam family: Bacterial small subunit ribosomal RNA
Source: RNAcentral